UGUGUGUCUGUUAGUGUGUGUGACUGUUAGUGUGUGCACACACACUAACAGACACACACUAACAGACACACACG
This is a non-coding RNA of Pelobates cultripes (western spadefoot toad), 74 nucleotides long. The record is from the annotation of a GenBank genome assembly. NCBI's taxonomy places the organism in Eukaryota, Metazoa, Chordata, Amphibia, Anura, Pelobatidae.